Molecule: ribosomal RNA, 1542 nt
Filed under: Escherichia coli
Lineage: Bacteria; Pseudomonadati; Pseudomonadota; Gammaproteobacteria; Enterobacterales; Enterobacteriaceae
Description: bacterial SSU rRNA
Rfam family: Bacterial small subunit ribosomal RNA
Source: RNAcentral
AAAUUGAAGGGUUUGAUCAUGGCUCAGAUUGAACGCUGGCGUCAGGCCUAACACAUGCAAGUCGAACGGUAACAGGAAGAAGAUUGCUUCUUUGCUGACGAGUGGCAGACGGGUGAGUAAUGUCUGGGAAACUGCCUGAUGGAGGGGGAUAACUACUGGAAACGGUAGCUAAUACCGCAUAACGUCGCAAGACCAAAGAGGGGGACCUUCGGGCCUCUUGCCAUCGGAUGUGCCCAGAUGGGAUUAGCUAGUAGGUGGGGUAAAGGCUCACCUAGGCGACGAUCCCUAGCUGGUCUGAGAGGAUGACCAGCCACACUGGAACUGAGACACGGUCCAGACUCCUACGGGAGGCAGCAGUGGGGAAUAUUGCACAAUGGGCGCAAGCCUGAUGCAGCCAUGCCGCGUGUAUGAAGAAGGCCUUCGGGUUGUAAAGUACUUUCAGCGGGGAGGAAGGGAGUAAAGUUAAUACCUUUGCUCAUUGACGUUACCCGCAGAAGAAGCACCGGCUAACUCCGUGCCAGCAGCCGCGGUAAUACGGAGGGUGCAAGCGUUAAUCGGAAUUACUGGGCGUAAAGCGCACGCAGGCGGUUUGUUAAGUCAGAUGUGAAAUCCCCGGGCUCAACCUGGGAACUGCAUCUGAUACUGGCAAGCUUGAGUCUCGUAGAGGGGGGUAGAAUUCCAGGUGUAGCGGUGAAAUGCGUAGAGAUCUGGAGGAAUACCGGUGGCGAAGGCGGCCCCCUGGACGAAGACUGACGCUCAGGUGCGAAAGCGUGGGGAGCAAACAGGAUUAGAUACCCUGGUAGUCCACGCCGUAAACGAUGUCGACUUGGAGGUUGUGCCCUUGAGGCGUGGCUUCCGGAGCUAACGCGUUAAGUCGACCGCCUGGGGAGUACGGCCGCAAGGUUAAAACUCAAAUGAAUUGACGGGGGCCCGCACAAGCGGUGGAGCAUGUGGUUUAAUUCGAUGCAACGCGAAGAACCUUACCUGGUCUUGACAUCCACAGAACCUUGUAGAGAUACGAGGGUGCCUUCGGGAACUGUGAGACAGGUGCUGCAUGGCUGUCGUCAGCUCGUGUUGUGAAAUGUUGGGUUAAGUCCCGCAACGAGCGCAACCCUUAUCCUUUGUUGCCAGCGGUCCGGCCGGGAACUCAAAGGAGACUGCCAGUGAUAAACUGGAGGAAGGUGGGGAUGACGUCAAGUCAUCAUGGCCCUUACGACCAGGGCUACACACGUGCUACAAUGGCGCAUACAAAGAGAAGCGACCUCGCGAGAGCAAGCGGACCUCAUAAAGUGCGUCGUAGUCCGGAUUGGAGUCUGCAACUCGACUCCAUGAAGUCGGAAUCGCUAGUAAUCGUGGAUCAGAAUGCCACGGUGAAUACGUUCCCGGGCCUUGUACACACCGCCCGUCACACCAUGGGAGUGGGUUGCAAAAGAAGUAGGUAGCUUAACCUUCGGGAGGGCGCUUACCACUUUGUGAUUCAUGACUGGGGUGAAGUCGUAACAAGGUAACCGUAGGGGAACCUGCGGUUGGAUCACCUCCUUA